GUGGGCAUACUGGUUAUACUGUGAUAGCUCUGGGAGAGGGAGCUGGGAGCCACAACUAGAAGAAGAAGAAAGAAGAUCCAGCGUGAGUCCUACGUGGUUCUGCGUCAGGGGCGCACGCUAUUGCGAGAAAGGAAGAAGAAGAGAGAGAAGCAUCAGUUUUCUGCGUAUCCGUGUUUCCACGUAAUCUGUUCUCCUCGCCGAGUUGCAGGAGGGCUACGACCACGCGGGAAGAAUCGCCAUUAGCGUUGGUUAAGUGAAGAGCUGACCGGGCCUUAUCGCAGCGUUUCGCCGCGGUCGACAUCGAUAGGCUCGAAGAUCGGAUGCGAGGAAGGCGUACGCAUUCUGUGUACGUACCUCGACGAGAUUUCAGCUUGCGUAUAUUCUAGAGAAUUGGAUUCUAAAAAUGGAGGAUGCAAACAUCCUAGUCACCUGUCCGCUCAAUCCUGCGCAUCGCAUUCGCAAAUAUAAACUUAUGGGUCAUUUGGUAAAA
Molecule: long non-coding RNA, 490 nt
Organism: Vollenhovia emeryi
Lineage: Eukaryota; Metazoa; Arthropoda; Insecta; Hymenoptera; Formicidae
Exons: 4
Source: RefSeq, a predicted model, not a curated record